AAAUGAAUAGACGGGGGCCCGCACAAGCGGAGGAACAUGUGGUUUAAUUCGAUGAUACGCGAGGAACCUUACCCGGGCUUGAAACGCGCCUGACUUGGCCGGAGACGGCCAUUCCCCUCGGGGCGGGCGCGUAGGUGCUGCAUGGUUGUCGUCAGCUCGUGCCGUGAGGUGUCGGCUUAAGUGCCAUAACGAGCGCAACCCUCAUCGUUAGUUGCCAUCAGGUCAUGCUGGGGACUCUAGCGAGACUGCCAUCGCAAGGUGCGAGGAAGGUGGGGAUGACGUCAAAUCAGCACGGCCCUUAUGUCCGGGGCGACACACGUGUUACAAUGGGCGGUACAAAGGGUCGCCACCCGGUGACGGGGCGCCAAUCCCGAAAACCGCUCUCAGUUCGGAUCGGAGUCUGCAACUCGACUUCGUGAAGCUGGAUUCGCUAGUAAUCGCGCAUCAGCCACGGCGCGGUGAAUACGUUCCCGGGCCUUGUACACACCGCCCGU
Molecule: ribosomal RNA, 494 nt
Filed under: uncultured bacterium
Lineage: Bacteria
Description: bacterial SSU rRNA
Rfam family: Bacterial small subunit ribosomal RNA
Source: RNAcentral